GACGAACGCUAGCGGCAGGCCUAAUACAUGCAAGUCGAACGGUAAGGUCUCUUCGGAGAUACACGAGUGGCGCACGGGUGCGUAACGCGUAUGCAACCUACCCUAAAGCGGGGGAAAGUCGCGGGAAACUGCGAAUAAUACCCCAUGUGAUCUUAAAAUUUCAUGAUUUAAAGAUGAAAGCUCCGGCGCUUUAGGAUGGGCAUGCGUCCCAUUAGUUAGUUGGUAAGGUAACGGCUUACCAAGACAAUGAUGGGUAGCUGGUCUGAGAGGAUGAUCAGCCACACGGGCACUGAGACACGGGCCCGACUCCUACGGGAGGCAGCAGUAAGGAAUAUUGGUCAAUGGGGGCAACCCUGAACCAGCCAUGCCGCGUGGAGGAAGAAGGCCCUCUGGGUCGUAAACUGCUUUUCUGAGGGACUAACUGGGUACUAUACGUACCUUUGCAGGUACCUUAGGAAUAAGCACCGGCUAACUACG
This 477-nucleotide ribosomal RNA is filed under the name uncultured Bacteroidota bacterium. Its description in RNAcentral is "bacterial SSU rRNA". It matches the Rfam family "Bacterial small subunit ribosomal RNA", at positions 28 to 505 of the family's 1533-position model. The record is from RNAcentral. Lineage: Bacteria; Pseudomonadati; Bacteroidota.